GGAGAGGUGGCAGAGUGGUUGAAUGCGGUGGUCUUGAAAACCAUUGACGGUGCAAGCUGUCCGGGGGUUCGAAUCCCUCCCUCUCCG
RNAcentral lists this transfer RNA (87 nucleotides) under Bacteroidota bacterium. RNAcentral's name for it is "tRNA-Ser". It matches the Rfam family "tRNA". Rfam says of the family: Transfer RNA (tRNA) molecules are approximately 80 nucleotides in length. Their secondary structure includes four short double-helical elements and three loops (D, anti-codon, and T loops). Lineage: Bacteria; Pseudomonadati; Bacteroidota. RNAcentral also lists the same sequence under 1 other name. The record is from RNAcentral.